AUAAGCAGUUUGCAGAAAACCCAAGGCUCCUCUACAGGAACAUGGCAAAGGACACAAUAGAAGUGCAACAGCCAUAUUGAAGGAGGUGCAAUAAAACCUGAUAACCUUAUGGCUACGGCG
Molecule: long non-coding RNA, 120 nt
Organism: Thalassophryne amazonica
Lineage: Eukaryota; Metazoa; Chordata; Actinopteri; Batrachoidiformes; Batrachoididae
Exons: 4
Source: RefSeq, a predicted model, not a curated record